This 77-nucleotide transfer RNA is filed under the name Endozoicomonas sp. OPT23. RNAcentral describes it as "tRNA-Arg". It matches the Rfam family "tRNA". Rfam says of the family: Transfer RNA (tRNA) molecules are approximately 80 nucleotides in length. Their secondary structure includes four short double-helical elements and three loops (D, anti-codon, and T loops). Lineage: Bacteria; Pseudomonadati; Pseudomonadota; Gammaproteobacteria; Oceanospirillales; Endozoicomonadaceae. The record is from RNAcentral.
GCACCCGUAGCUCAGCUGGAUAGAGUAUACGCCUCCGAAGCGUAAGGUCGCGCGUUCGAAUCGCGCCGGGUGCGCCA